RNA transcript from Numida meleagris (helmeted guineafowl), 4591 nucleotides. It is a transcript of the gene named glycosylphosphatidylinositol specific phospholipase D1, with no coding region annotated. The record is from RefSeq and is a predicted model, not a curated record. Lineage: Eukaryota; Metazoa; Chordata; Aves; Galliformes; Numididae. The transcript is spliced from 25 exons.
UGGCUGUCAACUAACACCCACAGAUCCUUUUCCUCUGUGCAGCUCGCUAGCCAGUCUGCCUCAAGCCUGUAACAAUGAAUGGAGUUGUUACAAAUGUUUGGGACCCGGCACUAGAUCUUGUUAAAGCUCAUACAAUUGGCCUCUGCCCAUUGAUCCAGCCUAUCCAGAUCACUCCGUAGGGCCUUCCAAUCCUAAAGCAGAUCAACGCUUCCUUCCAACUUUAUGUCUGCACCUGCAAACUUACUGAGGGUGCACUUAGUCCAGAUCAUCAAUAAAGGUAUUAAACAGGUCUCAGUACCCCCUGGGAGCACCACUAGUGACCAGUCACCAACUGGAUUUAACUCAAUUCACUGCCACUCUCUGGUCCCAUCCAGCCAGCCAGAUUUUUACCUAGUGAAGAGUAUACCUGUCCAAACCGUGGGCAACCAGUUUCUCCAGGAGAAUACUUUCAGAGACGUAGGCAAAGGUUUUACUAAAGCCUAGGUAGAUUGCUUGUGGUCAAUCACUUGAUUUCAGGAGGCUGACAGCCCUCUCCUUCUUCCACAUGCCUUGGUGGCCACAGCUCGUGCCUGGAACAAAGAACAUGCAGAGCACCUGCCCACCUUACCCAUAGACUGAGCUACAGCCCAACGUGAUGGCCAGGCCAUAACCUUCCCCAGUCAGGUGUGUGCAGAAGAUGGCAGGGAGCUGAAGCACCCCUAGCCUCUUCUGUUGGACAGAAGCUCGCAGCAAUAUGAAUGAUAAGAAUUAUUGUGAUUACUUGCUCCAUAUGUUGGGUUGAAUUGGGUUAUCAAUAUGGGUUACAAGACCUAGAUGUAUAUGUGUAAUGAGUGGAAAGCUCUAAACUCCUUGCCUGUCCACAGCUCAUGAAUUUGUAUUACCUUCAAUUCUGAAACUAGUGUGUUCCUUUUAAUACUACUUUGGCAACUGACUUUUGUUUUGUUUUGUUUUGUUUUGUUUUGUGAAAUCUUGUGGUGUUGUAAGUCAAGUGUGCAGUGAGGUGGACAUCCUCUGGGAAGCUGCCCUUCUUCUUUGGGCCACGGGUUAAAAGAAAUCUCUCUGCUCCUUUGCAGAGGUGGCAGUUACACUGCCAAAACCCCAGAGAGAGAGGGAAGAACACCUAUAAAUUAUUUAUUUUUAAAAAAUAUUUUUAUUUGAGGUAAAGGUACAAAACAGCACUACAAAUACCACAAUAGUUUGCUUGCUGUGUCAGCAAUAGGCCUGAAAGACAAAUAUGUGCCGUAACCCACAUUUCAAAGGUCACUGCUACUGCUGCAGGCUUCUGAAAACACAGUCUGAGCAAGCGUCACAGCAUCAUGGCGUGUCUGAAGAGAUGGUCUGUUUUGAUGAUUAUACUGUACAAUUUCUAUCAAAAAUGCAUUCCAAGUGGAAUUUCAACGCAUGUUGAAAUAGCGCAUAGAGCUCUGGAAUUUUUCACCAAACGUGAAGGGAAUGUUGAUUAUAGACAGUUGUUACUAAACCACCAAGAUGCAUUUCAGGCUGGGAGCAUUUAUCCUGAUGCCUUUUAUCCUCCAAUCUGCAAGCGUGGGAUAUACCAUGAUGUGUCUGAAGACACUCAUUGGUCACCAUUUCUUAAUGCAAGUAUUCACUACAUCAGAAGGAAUUAUCCUCAGCCUUGGGAAGAGGCUACUGAGAAGCUGGUGGCUUUCCUGUUUGGAAUUGCCUCACAUAUGGUGGCAGAUGUUAGCUGGCAUAGCCUGGGCAUCGACCAAGGAUUUUUAAAGGCCAUGGGAGAAGUUGAUUUUCAUGGUUCAUAUUCAGAAGCUCACAAUGUUGGAGAUUUUGGAGGAGAUGUACUAAGUCAGUUUGAGCUGGACUUCAGUUAUCUGGCACCAAACUGGUAUGUACCUGUCAAAGACCUAGCCUCUAUCUAUAAGGAAUUGUAUGGAAGAGAGAUCAUAACUGAAGGCACAAUUACUGACUGUACUUACCUGCUGUUUCUUGAACUACAUGGAGAAAGGCUUGCUGUUGCCAAGCUUUUUCCAACAUAUGCUAGUAAAUCUCCAUUUCUGGUGGAAAAGUUCUAUGAAUAUUUCCUUGGAGGAGUAGAUGACAUGGCAUUCUGGACAAACAAUAUUUUUGAGCAGAUGAGCCAAAUGCUAGAGAAUGGAAGCAGUGGGUGCUUCCUGCCUGAAAACCCUCUGUUUAUAAACUGUACAAGGGACCACAAAGAUAACUACAUAAGCAAACACUCAAAAAAUGAGCAUCGCAAGAAUACAACUUCUUUACUUCCAAAAACACUUGAAAAGAAUAUAACAUAUACAGAGAGAGGAGUUCACUUCAAUAUACAAUCCUGGGCAACAAAUUCCCUCCGAUUCAUAAAUCGCGCUUUUGCAAAAAGUAUCUGGAGAGUGAUAGCAACUACACAUCAAAAAUCCUUUAAGUACAUCUCCAAGCCAGUAUCUUCAUAUUUUCUUACUUCACCAUAUGCUAGACUUGGAUGGGCAAUGAUCUCAGCUGACCUAAACCAGGAUGGAUAUGAAGAUCUGGUAGCUGGAGCACCAGGAUACAGCACGCUGGGCCACAUUCAGAUAGGACGAGUGUAUAUAGUCUACGGCAAUCGUUCAGGUUUACCACAGGAAGACAUGGAUCUAGAUGGGAAAGCAGACCACAUACUAGAGGGUCAUCAGCCUUCAGGCAGAUUUGGUUCUGCAUUGGCAGUUCUGGACUUCAAUGAGGAUGGAGUGCCAGAUCUGGCAAUUGGAGCACCUUCUGUGGGGUCUCAGUUUCUCACUUACAAAGGUGCUGUGUAUGUCUAUUUUGGGACUAAGGGAAGAGGCUUGGCAUCUCAACCAAACGUGACCAUAACUUGUCAGUAUUCCUACUGUAAUCUUGGUUGGUCCCUCCUGGCAGCUGACAUUGAUGGAGAUCAAAAUGGUGAUUUGGUUGUUGGCUCUCCAUAUGCACCUGGUAGUGGGCAGCAGAGAGGAUUUGUGGCUGCAUUUUACUCUUAUUUCAACAGAACUAACCAAGGACUUCUGUCUGUAGAGGAUGCCAACUGGAUGGUGAAUGGGGAAGAAAACUAUGCUUGGUUUGGAUUUUCACUUCAUAGCUGCCAAAUGGAGAAUGCAACACUACUGCUAAUUGGUAGCCCUACGUGGAAGAAUUGCGUCGAGUGCAAUCCCUUCUCAUCUGAUGUCAAACAGAGUGUUGGGAAAGUGUAUGGAUAUAACCCACCAAGCACAAAGCAUUGGUUUACAAUAGCUGGAAAAAAGGCAAUGGGCAGAAUGGGUUUGUCUCUGGCCAGUGGUGUGAUGUCUGUGGCUGGGAUCACCAGGACAGUUUUGGUGGUGGGUGCACCAACUACAGACAGUCUAUCUAGGAUUUCAUUUUUGUCCCCGGUGCUGCACCAAGCUGGACUGGCUCUGGUAUAUGAUCUGGCAGACAGCACCAAGCCUUCUUUGCUCAGCACAUUCAGUGGGGACAGAAGGUUUUCUCGCUUUGGAGGAGAUACUUACUUAAGUGACCUGGAUAAUGAUGGACUAGAUGAAAUGAUUGUAACAUCCCCCCUGCGAACUAACGAUAUCACCACAGUACUAUUUGGUGGGGCAGCUGGCCGUGUUUACAUUUAUAAUGGAAAUCAGGCAUCUUCAGGGAAUGUGACAGACCACUGCAAAUCAUGGAUAUCUCCCUGUCCUGAGGACUGGGCACAGUAUGUCCUCAUUUCUCCUGAGGAACAAUCAAGAUUUGGGAGUUCGGUCAUCACUGUGAAAUCUGAAAAAAAGGUGAGCAAAGUAAUUGCUUCUGGUUGCUUUGUUACAUCUGUCUAUGACACUUACGUGUACUGGUCAACACCUCAGGUCUUCUUCAUUUGCAGAAGCGUAAAGUAUUUUGCACUGUUAGUUAACUUACUUUUCCUUCAAGUCACUCUCUGUCUGAACUGGUAAUUAAAGCAGUUUUAUAGGUGUAUUAACUGUGGAGUUGUCAAAAUUUUGGCACCUGACACUUGAAUCAAAAGGGAUUGCUUUGAAAGGACCUAAAAUCUAAACUAUUAGGAGUUUCCUGAAAGGUUGCAUGGUAAAUAGUGCAUAGAUGCUAAAUGGCUUUACUGUUUGAACCAACCUGUAUGCAAAGUGGAUGCAAAGCAGGGAGCCUAUGACCUCUGUCAGUUAAUAUUCACAUGCUCACGGUUGUAGCUGUCAUUUCCAGUGAACACAAUUCAUGCGCUGAGUCUUUCCAAGCACAGAGAGACCCAGUUCUUACCUGAAUGGGUUUGGAUGCAUUUAUGCACCUGUUUAUCUUUGUUCUCUUCGGACAAACCAUUAUGAGUAUCAAAAAUCAAUCCCUAUGUUUGUAUGAUGCAGUAAGAAACCUUUCCCUCAGCUUGAAGGUUGUUCAGCUGAGGUGAGUCCAACAUUCUACUUACUCUGAUGUAACAGUAGGCUGAGGAGACGUACAACUGGUCUUCAACAAAUGUUCUUUGACUUUUUGCUCUUAAAACAUGCACUGAAGAAACACCUGGAAAUGCAAAUGCAUCUCAGUUAGAAGGAAGUUGUAGUGGCAGCAGAGAGAAGUUCAGCGAAAGCUCGACUUGGUGGAAGGCUUUUUGUCUACUCACUCUGAACAGUCA